RNAcentral lists this ribosomal RNA (301 nucleotides) under uncultured bacterium. Its description in RNAcentral is "partial 16S ribosomal RNA". It matches the Rfam family "Bacterial small subunit ribosomal RNA", at positions 509 to 807 of the family's 1533-position model. The record is from RNAcentral.
CAGCAGCCGCGGUAAUACGUAGGGUGCGAGCGUUAAUCGGAAUUACUGGGCGUAAAGCGUGCGCAGGCGGUUGUGUAAGACAGGUGUGAAAUCCCCGGGCUUAACCUGGGAACUGCGCUUGUGACUGCACAGCUAGAGUAUGGCAGAGGGGGGUGGAAUUCCACGUGUAGCAGUGAAAUGCGUAGAGAUGUGGAGGAACGCCGAUGGCGAAGGCAGCCCCCUGGGCCAAUACUGACGCUCAUGCACGAAAGCGUGGGGAGCAAACAGGAUUAGAGACCCCAGUAGUCCCUGUCUCUUAUAC